GUGAGGAAUAUUGCACAAUGGGCGAAAGCCUGAUGCAGCAACGCCGCGUGAGUGAUGAAGGCCUUUGGGUCGUAAAACUCUGUCCUUGGGGAAGAAAAAAAUGACGGUACCCUUGGAGGAAGCCCCGGCUAACUACGUGCCAGCAGCCGCGGUAAUACGUAGGGGGCAAGCGUUAUCCGGAAUUAUUGGGCGUAAAGAGUGCGUAGGUGGUUUUGUAAGCGUAGGGUGAAAGGCAGUAGCUCAACUAUUGUUAGCCCUGCGAACUGUGAGACUUGAGUGCAGGAGAGGAAAGUGGAAUUCCUAGUGUAGCGGUGAAAUGCGUAGAUAUUAGGAGGAACACCAGUGGCGAAGGCGACUUUCUGGACUGUAACUGACACUGAGGCACGAAAGCGUGGGUAGCAAACAGGAUUAGAAACCCCGGUAGUCC
RNAcentral lists this ribosomal RNA (427 nucleotides) under uncultured bacterium. Its description in RNAcentral is "partial 16S ribosomal RNA". It matches the Rfam family "Bacterial small subunit ribosomal RNA", at positions 354 to 796 of the family's 1533-position model. The record is from RNAcentral.